This 233-nucleotide ribosomal RNA is filed under the name uncultured bacterium. RNAcentral's name for it is "partial 16S ribosomal RNA". It matches the Rfam family "Bacterial small subunit ribosomal RNA", at positions 560 to 769 of the family's 1533-position model. The record is from RNAcentral.
UGCGUACGGAAUGACGUGGGACGGUAAAGGGCGUGUAGGCGGUUUACACAGUCAGAUGUGAAAUCCCCGGGCUUAACCUGGGAGCUGCAUUUGAUACGUGUAGACUAGAGUGUGAGAGAGGGUUGUGGAAUUCCCAGUGUAGAGGUGAAAUUCGUAGAUAUUGGGAAGAACACCGGUGGCGAAGGCGGCAACCUGGCUCAUGACUGACGCUGAGGCGCGAAAGCGUGGGGAGC